RNAcentral lists this ribosomal RNA (776 nucleotides) under uncultured Neocallimastigales. RNAcentral's name for it is "partial large subunit ribosomal RNA". It matches the Rfam family "Eukaryotic large subunit ribosomal RNA", at positions 24 to 644 of the family's 3401-position model. Lineage: Eukaryota; Fungi; Neocallimastigomycota; Neocallimastigomycetes; Neocallimastigales. The record is from RNAcentral.
UAUGUGAUCGUCUCUCGCAUAUCAAUAAGCGGAGGAAAAGAAACUAACAAGGAUUCCCCUAGUAACGGCGAGUGAAGCGGGAAGAGCUCAAAUUUGAAAUCUUAAAGGGUUUCCCUUUACGAAUUGUAGUUUAAAGAAGUGUUUUCUGUUGAGGUUUUGGUAAAAGUUCUUUGGAAUAGGACAUCAUAGAGGGUGAGAAUCCCGUAUUUGACCUUUACUUUCAACUUUGCGAUACACUUUCAAAGAGUCGGAUUGUUUGGGAAUGCAGUCCAAAAUGGGUGGUAAAUUUCAUCUAAAGCUAAAUAUAUGGCGAGAGACCGAUAGCGAACAAGUACCGUGAGGGAAAGAUGAAAAGAACUUUGAAAAGAGAGUUAAACAGUACGUGAAAUUGUCAAAAGGGAAGCGUUUGACACCAGUGUUGUUUUUCUGAAAAUCAAUUAAAGAACUGUUUAUGCUAAGCUGUUUAGACUUUAUCAGCUAAUCUGUUUAGUUUUGAGCUUUUCUUUAAUGCACUUUUCAGUUAACAAGUCAACAUCAAUUUCUUUUGCUGUAAAAAAGCUUGAGGAAGGUGGCUUGAGAUUCGUCUUAAGUGUUUAUAGCCUCUUGCCUAUGCAGUCGGAGAGAUUGAGGUCUGCAGCGUAGAUCCUUCGGGGCUAAAUGCAUUUGUGCUAAGUUAUAACAUUUUAUAGACAACUUGUUGACUAUGAUUUGUCUUGUAGCUUACUCGCUUAUGUUAUUUUACCUACGCUUAGGAUGUUGAUAUCGCGCUCUCACUG